AUACGGAGGAUGCAAGCGUUAUCCGGAUUUAUUGGGUUUAAAGGGUGCGUAGGCGGUUUGCUAAGCGGGAGGUGAAAUGCCGGCGCUCAACGUCGGAAGUGCCUCCCGAACUGGUGGACUUGAAUGACUCUGCCGUGGGAGGAAUGUGUAGUGUAGCGGUGAAAUGCUUAGAGAUUACACAGAACACCGAUUGCGAAGGCAUCUCACGAAGGGUUGAUUGACGCUGAGGCACGAAAGCGUGGGGAUCAGACAGGAUUAGAUACCCUGGUAGUCCACGCAGUAAACGAUGAUGGCUAACCGCUGGGCUUAUCAGUUCAGUGGCCAAGCGAAAGCGAUAAGCCAUCCACCUGGGGAGUACGACCGCAAGGUUGAAACUCAAAUGAAUUGACGGGG
RNAcentral lists this ribosomal RNA (393 nucleotides) under uncultured bacterium. Its description in RNAcentral is "partial 16S ribosomal RNA". It matches the Rfam family "Bacterial small subunit ribosomal RNA", at positions 523 to 918 of the family's 1533-position model. The record is from RNAcentral.